UGCCAGCAGCCGCGGUAAGACGGGGGGUCCUAGCGUUGUUCGGAAUCAUUGGGCGUAAAGCGAGGGCAGGUGGUAUGGUAAGUUGGAUGUGAAAGCCCUGGGCCUAACCCGGGAAGUGCAUUCAAAACUGCCACACUUGAGUACAGUAGGGGACCGCGGAAUUCCAGGUGUAGUGGUGAAAUACGUAGAUAUCUGGAGGAACACCAGUGGCGAAGGCGGCGGUCUGGGCUUGUACUGACACUCAUCCUCGAAAGCGUGGGGAUCAAACAGGAUUAGAUA
This 279-nucleotide ribosomal RNA is filed under the name uncultured bacterium. RNAcentral's name for it is "partial 16S ribosomal RNA". It matches the Rfam family "Bacterial small subunit ribosomal RNA", at positions 506 to 784 of the family's 1533-position model. The record is from RNAcentral.